GAUCAUGGCUCAGAACGAACGCUGGCGGCAGGCUUAACACAUGCAAGUUGAACGGGAUUGUUAAGUAGCUUGCUAUUUAACAAGAGAGUAGCGCACUGGUGAGUAACACGUGGGAACGUACCUUUUGGUGGGGGACAACAUCUGGAAACGGAUGCUAAUACCGCAUAAGACCUGAGGGUGAAAGAUUUAUCGCCGAAAGAACGGCCCGCGGAAGAUUAGGCAGUUGGUGGGGUAAAGGCCUACCAAACCUACGAUCUAUAG
RNAcentral lists this ribosomal RNA (261 nucleotides) under uncultured bacterium. RNAcentral's name for it is "partial 16S ribosomal RNA". It matches the Rfam family "Bacterial small subunit ribosomal RNA", at positions 15 to 286 of the family's 1533-position model. The record is from RNAcentral.